Molecule: long non-coding RNA, 2135 nt
Organism: Heterocephalus glaber (naked mole-rat)
Lineage: Eukaryota; Metazoa; Chordata; Mammalia; Rodentia; Bathyergidae
Source: RefSeq, a predicted model, not a curated record
UAGUAUGAAGGCCUCGGGUUCAAUCCCCAGUAGGGGAAAAAGCUGUGUGAUCUCACGUUGGCUUGUCUGGCUCCUCCGAGCACAGGGGCCUGAUGAGGCUGCCUCGCUCCCUAGUCCGCUGGGCUCGCGAGUCUGGCGGGUCGCAUCUGCUCUCCAGCCCAGCCCGCCAGUCUUAACUCGCCUGUGCUCCCGCCCAGACGCCCUCUCAGGGCCUCCUCAAGGGGGGACAGUGCUCCCAGUUGGGGCGGGGGGGGUGCUGUGGUGUGCACACUACACCCAUUUCCUUGGGAUCAGCGAGUUCCUCGCCAGUCUCUGGCGUGCACUCAGGCUACAUUGUUACGACUGCCCCCUGUGUGGAGGGCACCUCGCGAAGGUCUGACUCCGGAGUGGCUGCACCCUGCCGGGAUUCGCCUCUGAGACCAAGGCCACGCUCUCCAGGAAGCCUGGCUUCUGUGCUCACUCAGACGCCUCAGGACCUUGCUGGGAGCAGAGCGAUCAGCAACCUGCCAGGUGGUAGACUGGAAGCUGUAGAUGGCUGCAGCUGCUGCCUAACGUCAGAAGAGUAUGGCAUGGCACAUCUAUAACCAAGAAGAGGUCCAAAUUCAGGUCACAGUCUCUCCUGGCUGCAUACUGUAUCAUUGUAAAGUCAAAAUAUUUUACCAAGACGCCUCAGAAGCCAGCAGCUGCUUUGCAUCCCAAGAUCAACAUACACGAGUGCCUGGAGACCCCGGGUGAUCAAGGCCAGGGGGAAGUGUUGGAAGCUGACUCGGCUGCACAUGUCAUUGCCUCAUGGACCCAGCGCCUGAAGCUAGUCUGUCACAUAAUCAACCUCGGCUUGUCGGGGCUCUGAGCUCUGCCUCAGCCUGCAAGCUGUGUACACAGAAAGGACUUAAAAAGAUUUAUUCUAAACCAGCGCAGGAGAGGUUGGAAGGAGCUGCCAUGGAGGGAAGAAAGGAGAGACUACCAGAUGAUUUAUUCCUGUAAUAGCAUUGCAACAAACCAAAAGAAAAGUGGAUGAAGAUUUUAAUAAGCAAUGAAGGGUCAGACCGGAAGGCAUAUGUGAGGAAGAACCCUGCAGUCGUUGCCAGAGGAACAUCCACUCAUUCUGCCAGCCUUGCCAAUCCAGCUGAGGGUACAAGGCCACAGCAACCCGAGACUAGGACCCACUACACAGACCACAGUCAGUAGAGAAGAAGUGCCAAGGGAUGGGCUUGAGCUGGGAAGAGGACAAUGGAAUCGUGUCUGUGAAACCUUCCAAGAAACAAAUUCAAAUUGCUAGUGAUAGGUGACUGAAGUUCAGCCAAGUCUGCUCAACUGUGGUUAUAAUAAAGGCAUGGGAUUGAUGUUCAGAAUCUAGGUUGGCUAUAUUUGAUUAAGCAAUUGAAGAGUUAGCCUUGUGCUCUUGGUUUUUGGUUGCCAACUCAUAGAACCAAAGGCACCCACCAAAGGAAAGAAAAACAUGAUAGGUGAAGCCACUUCUCUAGCCUUCACUUUGAGAUAUUUAACUUGCUAUACCACACCCUCUUUCCUAAUGGAGAUGAGCCCUAAAAACUCUCAAGGGCAAGAAGAAGCCACAUCAACAAAAAAAUGUCUGGUAAAUGAAUUUGGAGAGCUAAAUGUAGAAAUCACCUCAUAUUGCUACAAGUGGUUCCACCCACCAAUCUCUAAUGAUCUUUCCUUCACUUUUUUUUAUAACAACCUUCAUUCUUCAAAUGAAAGAAGUCCAUUUAUAAGAAGCAGCUCUCGGGGCCUUAAAUUACAGGUUGAGAUGUUACCAAAAUCUGGCACUAUUUUCCAAUUAUUAAUAUGUUAGUCGGAUUUUACCAAGGUAUUCAAAAAUUACUAUCUGGAUACCAUGUCAUAUGCUACAUACAAACAAACUACAGUGACUUUUGUUAUAGUUCUAUGACAUUUCUCAGCAUAUCAAUGUCUCUAAUCAUUUGUAAAUCUCAGAAAUUUCAACUUAUGUAUUCAGAAAUAAUUUCUUUACUGCCUCUGUAAAACCUUCAGUUGUUUUCAGAGAAGAGUUAUGGCUAAUUAUUGUAGAAAAGACCAACAUUUCUUUACAAUGUUUGAUAAUAGUUGUUUUGUAAACCUGAAAAUAUCUUAGAGAUUAUAAUUUUCCUUUAAAAGUG